UCGGGAAUUUUGGGCAAUGGGCGAAAGCCUGACCCAGCAACGCCGCGUGAGGGAUGAAGUAUUUCGGUAUGUAAACCUCGAAAGAAUGGGAAGAAUAAAUGACGGUACCAUUUAUAAGCUCCGGCUAACUACGUGCCAGCAGCCGCGGUAAUACGUAGGGGGCAAGCGUUGUCCGGAUUUACUGGGUGUAAAGGGCGCGCAGGCGGGAUAAAAAGUCAGUGGUGAAAUCCUACAGCUUAACUGUAGAACCGCCUUUGAUACUUUUAUUCUUGAGUUCGGGAGAGAGAGACGGAAUUCCAGGUGUAGUGGUGAAAUACGUAGAUAUCUGGAAGAACACCAGUUGCGAAGGCGGUCUCUUGGUCCGACACUGACGCUGAGGCGCGAAAGCGUGGGGAGCAAACA
This 402-nucleotide ribosomal RNA is filed under the name uncultured bacterium. RNAcentral's name for it is "bacterial SSU rRNA". It matches the Rfam family "Bacterial small subunit ribosomal RNA", at positions 355 to 774 of the family's 1533-position model. The record is from RNAcentral.